GGGUAGAGCACUGUUUUGGCUAGGGGGACAUGGAGUCUUACCAAACCAAGGCAAACUCCGAAUACCUGGAAGCGUGAGCACGGGAGACAGAGCACCGGGUGCUAACGUCCGGACUCAAAAGGGAAACAACCCAGACCGCCGGCUAAGGUCCCCAAUAACAGCUAAGUGGAAAACGAAGUGGAAAGGCCGUGACAACCAGGAAGUUGGCUUAGAAGCAGCCAUCCUUCAAAGAAAGCGUAAUAGCUCACUGGUCGAGUCCUUCUGCGCGGAAGAUGUAACGGGGCUAAGCUGUUAACCGAAGCCGCGGAUGCACUGAUUAUUCAGUGCGUGGUAGGGGAGCGUUCUGUAAGUCUGCGAAGGCGGUUCGAGAGGACUGCUGGAGAUAUCAGAAGUGCGAAUGCUGACAUGAGUAACGUUAAAGCAGGUGAAAAGCCUGCUCGCCGUAAGCCCAAGGAUUCCUGCUCUACGUUCAUCGGAGCAGGGUGAGUCGGCUCCUAAGGUCAGGCCGAAAGGCGUAGCCGAUGGGAAUCAGGUUAAUAUUCCUGAACCUGCGUCAGAUGCGAUGGGGGGACGGAGCAUGAAAGAUCAUCCGGGUGUUGGAUGUCCCGGUUGACGAGCGUAGGAGGUCUGCAGGCAAAUCCGCAGACGCAUCUCCAAGGCGAAGUCACGUGCCGCCACGGCGGCGAAGUGAUCGGAAGUGCUUCCAAGAAAAGCCUCUAAGCACCAGUCUGACGCGGACCGUACCGCAAACCGACACUGGUGGGCGAGCUGAAUAUGCUCAGGCGCUUGAGAGAACUCGGGAGAAGGAACUCGGCAAAUUGACACCGUAACUUCGGAAGAAGGUGUGCCGUAGUACCGUGAGAGGAGAGACACCUUGAGCGGGAAUCGGUCUCAGAGAAUAGGUGGCUGCGACUGUUUAUUAAAAACACAGCACUCUGCAAAGUCGAAAGACGACGUAUAGGGUGUGAUGCCUGCCCGGUGCUGGAAGAUUAAUUGAUGGGGUGAGAGCCCUUGAUCGAAGUCCCAGUAAACGGCGGCCGUAACUAUAACGGUCCUAAGGUAGCGAAAUUCCUUGUCGGGUAAGUUCCGACCUGCACGAAUGGCAUAACGAUGGCCACACUGUCUCCUCCCGAGACUCAGUGAAGUUGAAAUGUUUGUGAUGAUGCAAUCUACCCGCGGCUAGACGGAAAGACCCCAUGAACCUUUACUGCAGCUUUGCAUUGAACUGUGAACCGAUUUGUGUAGGAUAGGUGGGAGGCAGAGAAGAGGCCACGCCAGUGGUCUUGGAGCCGACCUUGAAAUACCACCCUGAUUUGUUUGCGGUUCUAACCACGGACAGUGAUCCUGUCUUGGGACCGUGCAUGGUAGGCAGUUUGACUGGGGCGGUCUCCUCCUAAAGGGUAACGGAGGAGUACGAAGGUACGCUAGGUACGGUCGGAAAUCGUGCUGAUAGUGCAAUGGCAAAAGCGUGCUUGACUGCGAGAGCAACAACUCGAGCAGAUGCGAAAGCAGGUCAUAGUGAUCCGGUGGCUCUGAAUGGAAGGGCCAUCGCUCAACGGAUAAAAGGUACUCUGGGGAUAACAGGCUGAUACCGCCCAAGAGUUCAUAUCGACGGCGGUGUUUGGCACCUCGAUGUCGGCUCAUCUCAUCCUGGGGCUGUAGUCGGUCCCAAGGGUAUGGCUGUUCGCCAUUUAAAGAGGUACGUGAGCUGGGUUUAAAACGUCGUGAGACAGUUUGGUCCCUAUCUGCCGUGGGCGUUGGAAGAUUGACGGGGGCUGCUCCUAGUACGAGAGGACCGGAGUGGACGCACCUCUGGUGUACCGGUUGUCACGCCAGUGGCAUUGCCGGGUAGCUAAGUGCGGAAGAGAUAACCGCUGAAAGCAUCUAAGCGGGAAACUUGCCUGAAGAUGAGUCUUCCCGGAGGUAAAACCUCCCUCAAGAGUCGUCCGAGACCAGGACGUCGAUAGGUCAGGUGUGUAAGCGCUGUGAGGCGUUGAGCUAACUGAUACUAAUUGCUCGUGAGGCUUGAUC
RNAcentral lists this ribosomal RNA (2031 nucleotides) under human gut metagenome. RNAcentral describes it as "bacterial LSU rRNA". It matches the Rfam family "Bacterial large subunit ribosomal RNA", at positions 900 to 2925 of the family's 2925-position model. The record is from RNAcentral.